Non-coding RNA from Oryzias latipes (Japanese medaka), 1881 nucleotides. The record is from RefSeq and is a predicted model, not a curated record. Lineage: Eukaryota; Metazoa; Chordata; Actinopteri; Beloniformes; Adrianichthyidae.
UUAAUAAUGUGAAAAUAAUUAUCAUGAACUCAUAAAUUUCAUGUUACAGGAAGCUACCACACAGACAGUUAGGCAACCAGGAACUAGUCGCACUGUUAGACUGCAGGUUGAUAUGAGGUCGAAAGGUCCAACGAAAAAAACAAAAGGGUCACAGACAAUGCCUGAAGUUGUGGAAAUCAGCACUCAAACUGAUGAAGAUUUUUGCCCAUUGUGUGACCACAAGCAGCUAUCUAUACAAGUUGAACCAAUCAUUCCUUCAUCACCAGACCUUCCAUCCAGUCAGCCGGAUCCCGUAUCAGCUGAUGAUAGUGACUAUCUUCCAAGUUCUUCACAGACCCCAUCCUCCUCUGACUCUGAAAGAAGGUCCACACCCCCACCCACUGAGCGUUUUUUCUUAGUUGCCUGGUCUGCUCUGAGCAUGCUGCUCAAUUUGAGGUGUUGUGCUUUUUGUCAAGAAAUGGACAUGGACAUGUCAACCACAACCCAGGGUACAAUGCUGUGUGUCCUCUGGACAUGCAAGAGUUGUAAAAAAGUUACAAAAUGGAAGAGUCAGCCUUUUGUUGGAGACAUACCUUUAGGCAAUAUUUUGCUAUCUGUAGCAAUAUUGUCUACUGGUGCAUUAGCCACUAAAGUACUACGCAUGUUCCAAAACAUGAAAGUGGCAUGCAUAUCCAAAAGAACAUUCUUUAGGCAUCAAAAAGACUAUCUGCUUCCCAGUAUCACACACUUGUGGGCUGAGCAGCAAGCCUGGCUCAUUGCAUGUCUUCAAGCAGAACAAAGAGGCAUCGUGUUGGCUGGAGAUGGUCGCUCAGACAGCCCUGGUCAUUCCGCAAAAUAUGGGACGUACACCAUGUUAGAAUUACCAGCAAAUGUUAUCAUAGACAUGCAACUGAGCAAUGAAGUUGGUGGUGCCUCGCAUAUGGAAAAGGAGGGCUUCAUAAGAUCAGUUAAUUUCUUGGGAACACAACAGGGUCUAGAUAUAGAUGUGAUAAUAACAGACAGGCAUGUCCAGUUACGGAAAUGGAUCAGAGAGAAUUUGCCAGAUGUUCAACACCUUUUGGACGUUUGGCAUGUUGCGAAGGGUCUCAGAAAAAAACUUGUGGCACUUUCCAAAGAAAAAGACUGCACAGACUUGAAAGAGUGGAUUGACAGCAUAAUCAAUCACCUUUAUUGGUCAGUCAUGUCAACAGAUUCAGCAGAGCCAAACCUAGUUGAAGCCAAGUGGACGUCUGUGCUGAAUCAUAUUGUAAAUAUUCAUACGCCCAACAAUGAGUUAUUCCCUAAAUGUGAGCAUAAAAGGCUGAGAGGAAGAGCAGCUAGAAAGAAGUGGUUGAAACCAUGUAAGUAUGUUUUGUAUAUUUUACACAGCCGUAUCUUUUUUUUUAUUGGAGUCAUCUGUAGAAGUAUAAGUAAGUUUGGAUGAUGUACAUCCAAUUUGCUUGCUUACAGGUUCUACCUUGAUGGUGAAAUUAGAAACACUGGCAACAACAACAUACCUCAUCAGAGAUCUAAAACAGGCAUCAAACCGGGAGCAGACAUCCUCUCUGGAGGCGUUCCACAGCCUCUUGAACCACUACGCUCCGAAAAUGUAUGCCUUUUCUUAUGAGGGCCAGCUUUGCAGAGGACUGUUAGCAGUGAUGCAUUUCAAUGAAAAUAGUGGGCGGACUCAACAAAGUACCAGAUCAGGUGAACUCCAGUAUGCAGUGUCCCUGCCAAAGUGGAAGAAAGGGGGACACACAGUGAGGAAAGUUUUAGAAGAACCUACAUUUGACUAUGUCAAUGAGAUCAUCAAGGAUGUCCUGGACAGACUCGUACACCCCAGAGAAGAUGUGGAUGUCAGAGAUGUGCCUCCUCCAUUGAGUGGUGAAUACCAAAGACCAA